This 440-nucleotide ribosomal RNA is filed under the name uncultured bacterium. RNAcentral's name for it is "partial 16S ribosomal RNA". It matches the Rfam family "Bacterial small subunit ribosomal RNA", at positions 338 to 795 of the family's 1533-position model. The record is from RNAcentral.
CCUACGGGAGGCAGCAGUGGGGAAUAUUGCACAAUGGGGGAAACCCUGAUGCAGCGACGCCGCGUGAAGGAAGAAGUAUUUCGGUAUGUAAACUUCUAUCAGCAGGGAAGAAAAUGACGGUACCUGACUAAGAAGCCCCGGCUAACUAAGUGCCAGCAGCCGCGGUAAUACGUAGGGGGCAAGCGUUAUCCGGCUUUACUGGGUGUAAAGGGAGCGUAGGCGGGGAUGCAAGUCAGAAGUGAAAGCCCGGGGCUCAACUCCGGGAAUGCUUUUGAAACUGUAUGGCUAGAUUGCAGGAGAGGAAAGUGGAAUGCCUAGGGUAGCGGUGAAAUGCGUAGAUAUUAGGAGGAACACCAGUGGCGAAGGCGGCUUGCUGGACUGUAAAUGACGCUGAGGCUCGAAAGCGUGGGGAGCAAACAGGAUUAGAGACCCGAGUAGUC